UGGGGAAUAUUGGACAAUGGGCGAAAGCCUGAUCCAGCCAUGCCGCGUGUGUGAAGAAGGUCUUCGGAUUGUAAAGCACUUUAAGUUGGGAGGAAGGGCAUUAACCUAAUACGUUAGUGUUUUGACGUUACCGACAGAAUAAGCACCGGCUAACUCUGUGCCAGCAGCCGCGGUAAUACAGAGGGUGCAAGCGUUAAUCGGAAUUACUGGGCGUAAAGCGCGCGUAGGUGGUUUGUUAAGUUGGAUGUGAAAUCCCCGGGCACAACUGGGGGACUGCAUUCAAAACUGACUGACUAGAGUAUGGUAGAGGGUGGUGGAAUUUCCUGUGUAGCGGUGAAAUGCGUAGAUAUAGGAAGGAACACCAGUGGCGAAGGCGACCACCUGGACUAAUACUGACACUGAGGUGCGAAAGCGUGGGGAGCAAACA
Molecule: ribosomal RNA, 427 nt
Filed under: uncultured bacterium
Lineage: Bacteria
Description: partial 16S ribosomal RNA
Rfam family: Bacterial small subunit ribosomal RNA
Source: RNAcentral